UCCGGUUUGUCACCGGCAGUCUCGCAUGAGUCCCCAACUGAAUGCUGGCAACAUGCGACGGGGGUUGCGCUCGUUGCGGGACUUAACCCAACAUCUCACGACACGAGCUGACGACAGCCAUGCAGCACCUCUAUGGCGGCCCCCGAAGGGGAAACUCUGUUUCCAGAGCGGUCCACCACAGUUCAAGCCCAGGUAAGGUUCUUCGCGUUGCAUCGAAUUAAACCAUAUGCUCCACCGCUUGUGCGGACCCCCGCCAAUUCCUUUGAGUUUCAAUCUUGCGAUCGUACUUCCCAGGUGGGAUACUUAAUGCUUUCGCUCAGACACACACAGUGUAUCGCGUAUGUCGAGUAUCCAUAGUUUAGGGCGUGGACUAC
RNAcentral lists this unclassified non-coding RNA (374 nucleotides) under uncultured bacterium. Its description in RNAcentral is "contains 16S-23S intergenic spacer region". The record is from RNAcentral.